AUGAAGCAGCAGAACAUGAUGAAGCAUUUUUCCCCCAUCUAAAGAUCCAGUCGUGCUCCAGUUUGCAGAGGGCAAGGGGCUGGUUGCAGGUGGUGCUGGGAGGAUGGAGUAGAGAUGGGGUUUCACCGUGUUAACCAGGAAUGUCUCGAUCUCCUGACCUCGUGAUCCACCCGCCUCAGCCUCCCAAAGUGUUGGGAUUACAGGCGUGAGCUACCACGCCCGGCCCUAGGCUCCACAACUCUAAGAAGCUUUGAAUGUCCCUGGCACAAGUUUCCAAGGAUAGACCCUCUGUGUGAAGGGGAGCAGCUGCCUUUGAGCAAUCAGCAGUAACUGCUUGGGGAGGCUUAGUCCCCUAAUAGUUCAGAAGUCACCUCCAAGGUCAGACGGACCCACAGCUGAACGCCAACACUUCCACUUCUCGGAAAGCCCAACGUGUAAACUGAUGACAGACUAUCCUGGAGGAAGAGGUGGGGCAGCCUGGAGUUUUCCUCUGGACAUCCUGAGAGGGAUACUGAAGCACUCAGGAGGGGUCUUAGACCUGCCCAAGCUCACUCACACAGUUUGAGAAGAGCUGCGCUUAGACCACAGGCCUCUUGGCUCCUGGGAAGCUGAGAGCAUCGGCGUGGGAGUUCGUCAGACAGGGGCAAGUUCCAACCGCAGCUCAGUGACCUCAGACAAGCCCCCUCACCUCGCAGAACCAGGUUCUUCUUCAGAGUUGUAGGAAGGAGUGGAGGAGGGUCUCCGCAUGUCAGAUGUCCACACAGUGCCUGGGAGCUGAGGUUGUCAUGGUUACCAAGAGGCCAGUCUCAGGGCUGCUGUGAUGACCUGGGCUGCUCUCCCAUUCCCAAGAAGGGGAGAACUCCUCAGAUUCCCUACUCUGCUCUUCUUGCUCCCUCCCAAGCAAUACAUGAGCAGGAAUUUGUCCUCUGCAGGAAUGUGCAGCGAGAAAGUCUCCUUUUUUGAUGAGACAGCGAUGAGGUGAUGUCUGGUUUUUUAUAUCCUCACUUGCUGAACUGGUGCCAGAUGUAAGAGUCCAGGCUGGAUUCCAUUAGCCAUAUUUGUCCUCUGGGCUCCCAGCCCUGCAGGACCUUCUGGGGGCCCACCUUGAGACCCUCCAGUUGGUAAGAAGUUGGCUGGGGCAAAUGAUGCAGCCCUAAGACGAACCAUUUCCACUGGGGACUCAGGCAGGGUCCCUGAGAGCCUGACUUACUCGAGUCUUUUCUUUAAAAAUUAAAAAAACAAGGCUGGGCGCGGUGGCUCACGCCUGUAAUCCC
RNAcentral lists this long non-coding RNA (1274 nucleotides) under Homo sapiens (human). RNAcentral's name for it is "HSALNT0276779". The record is from RNAcentral. Lineage: Eukaryota; Metazoa; Chordata; Mammalia; Primates; Hominidae.